Camellia sinensis is the source of this 559-nucleotide non-coding RNA. NCBI's taxonomy places the organism in Eukaryota, Viridiplantae, Streptophyta, Magnoliopsida, Ericales, Theaceae. The record is from RefSeq and is a predicted model, not a curated record.
UGCUGGACUCAAUUUCUUUUGGUUGAUUGUUCCUUUUAGUAGUCUACCACUCAAAUGUACUUAUAUUCUGUAGACCAAAGGCUAAAUCUCCACCUCAAGAUGCUUUACUAAAACUGGAAACAGAGCAAACUUUCACUGAACUAUCUCAAGAGAGCUCCAUGUUUGUUUUUAAGCUGGGUUUAGUUAAGCUCCAAUGCUGCCUCUUGAUGAAUGGGCUUGUUGUUGAUGCUAAUGAGAUUUCUGUCAGCAUGUCGUAUAUGCUCUUACAAGAGAUAUGGGUUCUUAAGUUGGAUUCUUCAUGAUCUCCCAUGACCAUUAGCACAAGAAUGACAUAUUUAGUUUAGAAGGCAAAGUUGAUUAUUCUUCUUUGUAACUUUACAUAUGAUUGGCUACUUUUCUUCUCUUUUACUUUUGAUCCCUGGUUUUGUGACUCUCUUCCAGGUAAAUCAACCCUUUAGCCUUACUAGGCUUCUGUCACUCCUAGUUUUCAAAAUUUGUAAAGUCUUACGUCUCAUGAACGAUGAAAGGGAUGUGAUGAAUCAUUGUGUCAUUCACAUCA